This 441-nucleotide ribosomal RNA is filed under the name uncultured bacterium. RNAcentral describes it as "partial 16S ribosomal RNA". It matches the Rfam family "Bacterial small subunit ribosomal RNA", at positions 338 to 795 of the family's 1533-position model. The record is from RNAcentral.
CCUACGGGAGGCUGCAGUGGGGAAUAUUGCACAAUGGGGGAAACCCUGAUGCAGCGACGCCGCGUGAGUGAAGAAGUAUUUCGGUAUGUAAAGCUCUAUCAGCAGGGACGAGACAAGACGGUACCUUACUAGGAAGCCCCGGCUAACUACGUACCAGCAGCCGCGGUAAUACGGAGGGGGCAGGCGUUAUCCGGACUCACUGGGUGUAAAGGGAGCGUAGACGGGUGAGCAAGCCUGAAGUGAAACGCUGGGGCCCAACCCGCGUACUGCUUCGGGAACUGUACGGCUGGAGUGCAGGAGGGGUAGGCGGAAUUCCUAGUGUAGCGGUGAAAUGCGUAGAUAUUAGGAGGAACACCAGUGGCGAAGGCGGCUUACUGGACUGUAACUGACGUUGAGGCUCGAAAGCGUGGGGAGCAAACAGGAUUAGAUACCCCUGUAGUC